GUCCCCAGAAUCCACUACAGAGGCACUCCAAUUUCAGCAGCUGUAUGGGACAAAAAUUAAGAUGGCAGACGUCUUGGUUGUCUUGUCUUGACACAGACUAGAGUUGUCUGGGAAGAGGAACCUCAGGCUAAUGAAGAACCACAAACUACGGAAGAUGGAGCCAGAUUCUUCCCCGCGGCUUCCAAAGGACACCGACACCACGAGCACCCCGAUUUUAGCCCCCGAGACCCAGGGUCCCGACUCCUAGACUCCACAGGACACUUGGCUGUCAUCCCCCGCCACCCCUUGCCCACGACACGUGGGCUCGAGUAGAGAAGCUCUCAACCUUGUAGUCUAGCCUUGGAUUUCAGCUUCCUUCUCGGUCUCAUCUUCCUGUCUGUAGCCAGAUGUAUCCCAGAUGUUCUGCUUUAGGCCCCCACUUGUUACAUUCCUCACAUCUCAACUCCACCCCAGCCAGUGCACACCUUAAGCGGCGCCAGGGAGGUAGACUAGCGACCAGAGCUUGUGACAUCAUCAUGGAGCCCAGUCUGUGGCGUCAUCAUGGAACCCAUCGGUACUGUCCCGAUGGUCAGAGCCCUGGAGAUAGAGCCGGAGGCGGCUGUGAGCAGCGGGGGCCCGGGCAUUGAACCAGAAUGCAGGCCCUCCGAUGGAGAAGUCAGCCCUCUUAACCACUGAGCUGCGUCUCCAGCACCAGACUAAGGUUUUCCUGAGAUGGGGUCUCACUGUGAGUACCAGGCUGGCCUCCAACCCUCAGUUUUCUGGCCUUAGUCCAUCCAUCUUGAGUGUUGGGACCACAAAGGUUUGCUGUCCUGCCUAUCCUAGAACACAUAUUUUCUUUUUGAAAAUUUAAAUGAUAUUGUUUAUUUACUCUUUGAAAAUUUCAUAUGUAUAUCCACCCCACGGCCCCUCUAAGUCCCCCUGGUACCCUGGCACUUUCAAAUUUCAUAUCUUAUUUUUUCCAAAAUAUACUUAUUUUUAUUUCA
This is a long non-coding RNA of Mesocricetus auratus (golden hamster), 983 nucleotides long. RefSeq lists it as uncharacterized. Lineage: Eukaryota; Metazoa; Chordata; Mammalia; Rodentia; Cricetidae. The transcript has 2 exons. The record is from RefSeq and is a predicted model, not a curated record.